UGAGGAAUAUUGGUCAAUGGGCGAGAGCCUGAACCAGCCAAGUAGCGUGAAGGACGACGGCCCUACGGGUUGUAAACUUCUUUUAUAAGGGAAUAAAGUUCGCCACGUGUGGUGUUUUGUAUGUACCUUAUGAAUAAGCAUCGGCUAAUUCCGUGCCAGCAGCCGCGGUAAUACGGAAGAUGCGAGCGUUAUCCGGAUUUAUUGGGUUUAAAGGGAGCGUAGGCGGGCUUUUAAGUCAGCGGUCAAAUGCCACGGCUCAACCGUGGCCAGCCGUUGAAACUGCAAGCCUUGAGUCUGCACAGGGCACAUGGAAUUCGUGGUGUAGCGGUGAAAUGCUUAGAUAUCACGAAGAACUCCGAUCGCGAAGGCAUUGUGCCGGGGCAGCACUGACGCUGAGGCUCGAAAGUGCGGGUAUCAAACAGGAUUAGAUACCCUGGUAGUCCGCACGGUAAACGAUGAAUGCUCGCUAUGGGCGAUACAAUGUCCGUGGCCAAGCGAAAGCGUUAAGCAUUCCACCUGGGGAGUACGCCGGCAACGGUGAAACUCAAAGGAAUUGACGGGGGCCCGCACAAGCGGAGGAACAUGUGGUUUAAUUCGAUGAUACGCGAGGAACCUUACCCGGGCUUGAAUUGCAGGUGCAUGAGUCAGAGACGGCUCUUUCCUUCGGGACUCCUGUGAAGGUGCUGCAUGGUUGUCGUCAGCUCGUGCCGUGAGGUGUCGGCUUAAGUGCCAUAACGAGCGCAACCCUUCUCCCCAGUUGCCAUCGGGUAAUGCCGGGCCCUCUGGGGACACUGCCAUCGUAAGAUGCGAGGAAGGUGGGGAUGACGUCAAAUCAGCACGGCCCUUACGUCCGGGGCCACACACGUGUUACAAUGGGGGGUACAGAGGGCCGCUGUCCGGUGACGGUCGGCCAAUCCCUAAAACCCCUCUCAGUUCGGACUGGAGUCUGCAACCCGACUCCACGAAGCUGGAUUCGCUAGUAAUCGCGCAUCAGCCAUGGCGCAGUGAAUACGUUCCC
RNAcentral lists this ribosomal RNA (1018 nucleotides) under uncultured bacterium. Its description in RNAcentral is "bacterial SSU rRNA". It matches the Rfam family "Bacterial small subunit ribosomal RNA", at positions 355 to 1375 of the family's 1533-position model. The record is from RNAcentral.